This 2420-nucleotide long non-coding RNA is filed under the name Triticum aestivum (bread wheat). RNAcentral's name for it is "long non-coding RNA (TAES_LNC020458)". Lineage: Eukaryota; Viridiplantae; Streptophyta; Magnoliopsida; Poales; Poaceae. The record is from RNAcentral.
GUGGGAAGAAGAGACGUGGGAGAGAGAGGAGGUGAGAUGGGGAGAAGAGAAGGCAGAGUAAGGACGGCGCGGAUUCCGGCGGUGGCUCCGGUUGGCGGAUCCAGGUAUGUGUCCCGAUUCCUCUCCUCCCUGUAAAAAACGUAUGUCGCAUCGUCGCUAACUGCUAGAGAUGCCCUUCAUAAGUUCAUCUUGUGGUCAACAACAACCCCCAGAUCGCGUGAGAGUUCAGUGGCAUGGGCAUGCUCUCCCCUGAUUGAUUUUGUAUCAAAGAUUUUGUUGUGGCGUGUGGGCAGCACCCAUGAGUGUUGGAAGUACAUGUUCUAUAUACAUAACAACUUCUCUGGUGACUUACUCAUCUAAUGGUCAGAUACAAUUUUAGCAACAGUGAAUAGCCGCCUGAUAGUUUUGUUAUCUACUUCUGAAUGUUCAUAAUGUGUAAAACGAAUCAAUUUUACUAUGAUUUUACUUGAGAAGUUGAAUCUGCAAAGUCUUGAGAGCAUUGACUAUAUACUCCAACACUGCAGGCCAACUCUUGAUGGAUUUCCAAUGUGCUGGUGGCCUCCGAAUUUUUUUUGUCGUGUAGCCGCUCCCCAUCUCAGCGUGUGCUAUCCACGGAAGCCGGCUCCUCCACUCAGGCCCUCCUCUGCAAACGCCGACGAGGACGCUACUUCAUCUGAACCGAUCUUCACGACCACGUGCAGGUAUACACAUGUGCUCCCCUGCCACCCCUGCACUGAUUUAAGGCGAAAUCCAAUUGAGAGUUAUUGAUAGGCACCAAUGUAUUCUUGGUUCAGUUCCCCUGUCUUGAAUUACGUUGAUCCUUUUGGUAAGAUCAAACUGAACAUGCUGAACAUCACUUGCCCAAACAAGUUGAACGCCUUGCUACAUUAUUGCCCAAUUUUGUAAAAUUGAUCAUAGCACUCCUGCUAUCAUGUCAUGUUUGCUAAUACUUAUUGAGCCAUAAAACAGUGUUUUCUGUUUAUAAGCUAGCCCUUCUUAUUAUGUUUCAGAAGAUCGAUAGUACCCAUUACAUUACUACAGUAUAGUGUAAUAUGAGAAACUGAGUUUUGGUUGCCAAGCAAAUGUUUGUGCUAAUUCCCACAAGAUAUUUGUGUUUGAAGAAUUAUUACUUUAUCAGGGAAAUAUCUUUUAUAUGGCUUCAUGAAAUCAGGAAAUUGAUUAAGCGGCAUAGGAAAUUGAUUUAGCACUACCUCAUUAAACAUGAAGACUUAUUUUUGAUUUCGUGUUGAUGUUUCAGAUGGAAUUUUUUUUCAUAUGACAUCAGGGAUGUAGGAUGAUUGGGUGAACAAGCUUCCUGUGAAACAUCCAGAUCCCGGUGGCGGUGCCUCCAUUCAGCAUCCCACGUGGCGACGUCCUCCGGUAUAAUGGCAAACACCGGCAGGGGAGAGAGCAGAGCGGGAGGGGUAUUGGGUUAAACAGAGUUGUGGGCAUUGCCCGUGCCAUGAUUGUGGUUAAUACCCACAGGAGAUUCUAUUCCUGUGAGCGGAUUAAACAGAGUUGAGUAAACAUCAUCCAUAGGAGGAUACAUGUGCUAAUUAAGUUUAGAGGAGAAAGUGGUUCUUUAUUCUUGCAAUUUUGGUGCAGAUGUCAUACAGGGGCAGAGAACAAUGGUCUUCUGGGAAUGCCUGUUAACUUUUUGGAGCUGCCAGGUAAAUUUUGGUACGAAUUUAUGUUAGUUCUACCUUUCCAUGAUGUUUAAUUGCUUGGUUCUUAAGGGUUUGUAAGAGGAGAUGGAUUUUGGACUACUCUAUUUCGGAUGCCACAGAUUUGCAGAUGAAAAAUAAAAGAGUGUGCAUGGUGUUUUUUUUCUUACAGAAUACUUUUAUAUGCCAUGUUCUAUUUUGCUUCAGAUUUAGGACUAUUUGGUCUGCUACAAAAUCCAUGUUUUCAACUGCAAAAUUUCAGUUUUAUUAUUAUCAUGUUUACUAUUUUUCGGUAGUAAUAUAUAACACGUCGCUGGUGAAAAGCCUACUGGAAAGAUUAAUUAGUCAAUAAUGUUGUCUUAAGAACAAUAGUAUUUGGCUCGAAGUAUAGGGACUGUCAAUUUUUUUAUGCUCCAGAAAAUACAAUUGCAAGGUACAGAAUAGUUGCCACUUAGUUUGGAUUUUAGUUAAAAGUGUAGACAUGUUAGUAACACUAUAAAGUUGGACAAUAAAUGAAGUCGACUACAUCCGAGCGAACUUAUCUUGCUUCCAAGAAGAGUAAAAUCAUCUUUAAUAAUUUCCUGGGUUUUGCUUAUGUUCAUGUUUGGAAUGUCGUUUCCUCCAAAAUGCAGCAUUUACCUAUCAUUUGGAGUACAAGAUGCAUUUUUUAUCAGUUGCUGACUAAGAAAACACUUUUCUGAUAAAAACGCUACCCUUCAGUUAGACUUAAUUAAUUGCCUUCUAGACAUGUUGGGG